Molecule: transfer RNA, 74 nt
Filed under: Allochromatium warmingii
Lineage: Bacteria; Pseudomonadati; Pseudomonadota; Gammaproteobacteria; Chromatiales; Chromatiaceae
Rfam family: tRNA
About the family: Transfer RNA (tRNA) molecules are approximately 80 nucleotides in length. Their secondary structure includes four short double-helical elements and three loops (D, anti-codon, and T loops).
Source: Rfam by way of RNAcentral
GCGCUCGUAGCUCAGUUGGAUAGAGCAACGGCCUUCUAAGCCGUGGGUCGCAGGUUCGAGUCCUGCCGGGCGCG